CAAAGGUAUAAAUGUAUAUACAUAAACUCAAACCAUGUGUAUAUAAAACAAAACAAAACAAACUAAAAGUAAAUAUAUAAAUAUAAAACUUUAAACUAAAAGUGUAAAUAAAUAAGUAUAUAUAUAAAACAAAUAAUAAUAAUAAAAUUGAAAGUAUAUAUAUAAAUAUAACUUAAAAUAACAAAUAAAAGAUAAAGAAGAUAGAAC
This 207-nucleotide long non-coding RNA is filed under the name Lathyrus oleraceus (garden pea). RNAcentral describes it as "Pisum sativum (pea) long non-coding RNA (PSAT_LNC000576)". Lineage: Eukaryota; Viridiplantae; Streptophyta; Magnoliopsida; Fabales; Fabaceae. The record is from RNAcentral.